CGGCAAAAGCUCAAAUUUGAAAUCUGGUACCUUUGGUGCCCGAGUUGUAAUUUGGAGAGUACCACUUUGGGACUGUACUUUGCCUAUGUUCCUUGGAACAGGACGUCAUGGAGGGUGAGAAUCCCGUGUGGCGAGGGUGUCAGUUCUUUGUAAAGGGUGCUCGAAGAGUCGAGUUGUUUGGGAAUGCAGCUCUAAGUGGGUGGUAAAUUCCAUCUAAAGCUAAAUACAGGCGAGAGACCGAUAGCGAACAAGUACAGUGAUGGAAAGAUGAAAAGAACUUUGAAAAGAGAGUGAAAAAGUACGUGAAAUUGUUGAAAGGGAAGGGCAUUUGAUCAGACAUGGUGUUUUGCGCCCCUUGCCUCUCGUGGGCUUGGGACUCUCGCAGCUCACUGGGCCAGCAUCGGUUUUGGCGGCCGGAAAAAACCUAGGGAAUGUGGCUCUGCGCCUCGGUGUAGAGUGUUAUAGCCCUGGGGAAUACGGCCAGCCGGGACCGAGGACUGCGAUACUUGUUAUCUAGGAUGCUGGCAUAAUGGUUAUAUGCCGCCCGUCUUGA
This 553-nucleotide ribosomal RNA is filed under the name Nakaseomyces glabratus. RNAcentral's name for it is "[Candida] glabrata partial large subunit ribosomal RNA". It matches the Rfam family "Eukaryotic large subunit ribosomal RNA", at positions 99 to 657 of the family's 3401-position model. The record is from RNAcentral. Lineage: Eukaryota; Fungi; Ascomycota; Saccharomycetes; Saccharomycetales; Saccharomycetaceae.